RNAcentral lists this ribosomal RNA (398 nucleotides) under Triticum aestivum (bread wheat). Its description in RNAcentral is "partial small subunit ribosomal RNA". It matches the Rfam family "Eukaryotic large subunit ribosomal RNA", at positions 163 to 559 of the family's 3401-position model. The record is from RNAcentral. Lineage: Eukaryota; Viridiplantae; Streptophyta; Magnoliopsida; Poales; Poaceae.
CUCAGCGACGGACCGGGCCCAAGUCCCCUAGAAAGGGGCGUCUGGGAGGGUGAGAGCCCCAUCCGGCCCGGACCCUGUCGCCCCACGAGGCGCCGUCAACGAGUCGGGUUGUUUGGGAAUGCAGCCCUAAUCGGGCGGUAGACUCCGUCCAAGGCUAAAUACAGGCGAGAGACCGAUAGCGAACAAGUACCGCGAGGGAAAGAUGAAAAGGACUUUGAAAAGAGAGUCAAAGAGUGCUUGAAAUUGCCGGGAGGGAAGCGGAUGGGGGCCGGCGAUGCGCCCCGGCCGUAUGCGGAACGGCUCUUGCUGGUCCGCCGCUCGGCUCGGGGUGUGGACUGUUGUCGGCCGCGCCGGCGGCCAAAGCCCGGGGGCCCUAGGUGCCCCCGGUGGCCGUCGUC